GGUUAUCACAUUAAUCUUAUCUGAUGUUCUCGGAGAUCCUAUGGAUAUAAUAGCAUGUGGCCCUACCGUUCCUGACACGUCCACAAAAAGAGAUUGUCUUGAGAUUGUUGAGAAACUAAAUGCUGGUCAUGAUUUACCACUCAAUGUUAUGGAAUAUCUUAACAGUAAAGAUAACCCAAUAGAGAUUCUUAACUUCUCUCAUGUUAAUAAUAUUAUAAUUGGCAACAACACAGUAGCUGUAGAUGGAGCAUCUUCAAUGGCCUACGAACUUGGGUAUGGUGUCAUUAUUUACAAUACAUAUGUAAGUGGUGAGGCUAGGGAUGUUGGCAAGCUCUAUGCUACAUUAGGAAUUUCAUCUGUAGAAACAACGAAUCUUCCUAUAGCAAUAAAAGAUCUUGCGAAGUCGAGGAAAGCAGUAUGUAUCCUAGGUGCAGGAGAAACUACUGUUUCUGUUCAUGGUAAUGGACGGGGUGGUCGCAAUCAAGAACUUGCUUUGGCUGCUGCCAUUGAAAUGAAUAAAUUUCCUUCUGAAAGAAAUCGUCUCCUACUGAGUGCUGGGACCGACGGUCAAGAUGGCCCUACACCCGCCGCUGGCGCUUACGCAUUUCCAAAUUUAGUUACCAUGGCAACAGCACAAAGUCUUGAUGCCAUAACUUAUCUGGAGAACAAUGAUUCGUUUUCAUUUUAUAGUGGGUUGGAAAAUGGGAAGUAUUUAGUUAAUACUGGCUUAACUGGAACAAAUGUAAUGGAUUUACAGGUCUUGCUAUUAUCGUAAAGUCAAUAGCGAAAUAUUUAAAUAUAUAUUGGAGUCGUCAUAGCCAUGCAUGGUUGUGAAAACAAACGUGUUUGAACGUUGAGCGUUGGAAUGAUUCAGUUGCUUCGGUCCUGAAACUAUGAAGAUCGCGAAAAGCCAGAUUUAUGCUUAACCUGCAAAGCAAGCGUUUGUGACGCGACAUACCACUCAUGAUGCUCUCUAAGGGUGUAGCAAUAAUUAUUGGUUACUUAUGAACAAGUGACAGAAAUACAUGUAUAAUGUGGGAAAUAUUGACUGUAUACGGUGGAUCAUGAUGCUAGAUUCAAAAUACUAAAGAAUGAAAUGAACAAUUAUAUAAAAAAAAAUUAAACUGAAUGCUUGAAGCAAUCUCAUAUUAUUAAAUACACUUUGGUCCCAAAUACUUUGAAAUUUCUCUCCAAAAGGAAAAUUUAAUCUACCGUGUUUAGACUACAAGGCUAGACCUGGCAUGGCAGACUAGUUUAAUUAAUCCGCAAACGUGCAGCGUAAGGCAAAUUACGCCAGGCCUGUGCUUGCGGUGUAAAUAUGACUUUAUUUCCAUUGACCGAAACAUAAUUAAUUAAAUAAGUGGUACUCACAGAGCCUCCUGCGUUUGCAGACUUAUGGGCACCCAAGAUUACAUUACAAAAUGAAUGUGUACCAAUGAUUAAAACUUGUAUAUGUAUACACUAAACGAAACGUUGCCAAGGCUUCAAAGUGUAAAGAACAAAAAGUUCGAUCGAUGAUUCGAUGAUGUAAAAUUGCCAAUAUUCAAUAUUAUUAAGAACUUUUUUAAAUUAAUGUAAUGAUCAACUUGAUGACGCACACCGUUACUAAUUCC
Molecule: long non-coding RNA, 1613 nt
Filed under: Paramuricea clavata
Lineage: Eukaryota; Metazoa; Cnidaria; Anthozoa; Malacalcyonacea; Plexauridae
Source: RNAcentral